RNAcentral lists this ribosomal RNA (253 nucleotides) under uncultured bacterium. RNAcentral describes it as "partial 16S ribosomal RNA". It matches the Rfam family "Bacterial small subunit ribosomal RNA", at positions 524 to 776 of the family's 1533-position model. The record is from RNAcentral.
GACGAACCGAGCGAACGUUAUUCGGAAUCACUGGGCUUAAAGGGCGCGUAGGCGGGCGGCCAAGUCAGGGGUGAAAGCCCCCAGCUCAACUGGGGAAGUGCCUCUGAUACUGGUCAUCUCGAGGGAGAUAGGGGCGUGCGGAACUUCCGGUGGAGCGGUGAAAUGCGUAGAUAUCAGGAGGAACACCGGUGGCGAAGGCGGGUCUCUGGGCAACAACUGACGCUGAGGAGCGAAAGCGUGGGGAGCGAACAGG